Molecule: non-coding RNA, 1236 nt
Organism: Danio rerio (zebrafish)
Lineage: Eukaryota; Metazoa; Chordata; Actinopteri; Cypriniformes; Danionidae
Source: RefSeq, a predicted model, not a curated record
AGACCCACCAUCCCCCAAGGUGAGCUGAAUCGGCUUGACUUUGACAAAAAUGGAGGAAACCCACCACCCCUAGACAGAGAGCAGGAAAGCCAUCCCCCAGCGUGAGAGUUGGGGGAGUGGGUCUCGACGAGGCUUGUGCAGUGUUCCAAAGAGCAAGAUAAGACCCACCAUCCCCCAAGGUGAGCUGAAUCGGCUUGACUUUGACAAAAAUGAAGGAAACCCACCACCCCUAGACAGAGAGCAGGAAAGCCAUCCCCCAGCGUGAGAGUUGGAGGAGUGGGCCUCGACGAGUCUUGUGCACUGUUCCAAAGAGCAAGAUAAGACCCACCAUCCCCCAAGUGACUAUUGGUUGUACAGUGCCUCUCUUGAGAGUGAGGGGAAUCGGCUUGACUCUCUAAAAAAGGACAGACCCACCAUCCUCCAAGUGAGUGUUGGAACGACCAGUGACUCUUUGCCUAUUCUCUCUUUCUAACCCCCCCUUUCUUACAGGGUGAGCUGAAUCGGCUUGACUUUGACAAAAAUGGAGGAAACCCACCACCCCUAGACAGAGAGCAGGAAAGCCAUCCCCCAGCGUGAGAGUUGGAGGACUGGGCCUUGACGAGGCUUGUGCAGUGUUCCAAAGAGCAAGAUAAAACCCAGACCAGCGAAGUGUUGGAUGACCAGUGGCUCGCUUUCUCUUGAGAGUGAGGUGAAUCGGCUUGACUCUACAAAAAGAGGACAGACCCACCACCACCCCCAGUCAGAGAGCGAGAAAGACCCACCGUCUUCCAAGUGAGUGUUGGAUGACCAGUGGCUCGCUUUCUCUUGAGAGUGAGGGGAAUCGGCUUGACUCUACAAAAAGAGGACAGACCCACCACCACCCCCAGUCAGAGAGCAAGAAAGACCUACCGUCACCCCCAGGUGAGCGUUGACUCAUAUACUCUUUCUCUAUUAACAAAUGGUUGCCAAUCUUGGUCUACUCCAGUCUGUGGUGUGUGUGUGUGUGUGUGGGGUGGGGGGGUUAAUUUACUUUAUUUUUAUUUUUGAGUGGUAAGGCGAAUGUGGUUUUAGCCAGUGUGGGUGAGCCUCCGUUGGUGCCCUCCCGUGGGUGUCGGGGUGGAGUCGGUACCUAAAGGCCCCUUGCACCUCAGGCCGACAAAACUUGGAUCGAGGGCUGACUUUCAAUGGAUCGCAGCGAUGGAGCUGCUCUGCCACGCACGAAACCCUGACCCAGAAUCAGGUCGUCUACGAGUCAUU